UAUUAUUUUUGAUUUAAAAUUGUUGUUGAUUAUUAUUAGUUAUUGUCUUGAAAUUUAAUGAAUUUGGCGGUAUAUUAGUCUUUUUAGGGGAAUUUGUUAAUUUAAUCGAUAAUCCUCGUUGAAUCUUACUUUAUUUGAUGUUUAUAUAUCGUCGUUUUUAAUAUUUUUUUUGUUUAGUUUUUUUUCUUUUGGGAGUUAAUUUCAGAUCAAGGUUUAAUUUAUGUUAAAGAUUUAAUGAAUUACAAUAUUAUUUUUAUAUAACGGAUUAUUAAUUUUAAUUUUAUUAUGAAGGUGGAUUUAAUUGUAAUUUUAUAUAUAUUGUUAAUUUGGAUUAUGGCUCUAUUAUAUGUACAUAUUGCCCGUCACUCUCGUUUU
RNAcentral lists this ribosomal RNA (375 nucleotides) under Latindia sp. MD-2014. Its description in RNAcentral is "partial 12S ribosomal RNA". Lineage: Eukaryota; Metazoa; Arthropoda; Insecta; Blattodea; Corydiidae. The record is from RNAcentral.